This 230-nucleotide long non-coding RNA is filed under the name Elaeis guineensis (African oil palm). RNAcentral's name for it is "long non-coding RNA (EGUI_LNC046738)". Lineage: Eukaryota; Viridiplantae; Streptophyta; Magnoliopsida; Arecales; Arecaceae. The record is from RNAcentral.
UGGCCAUGGGCUUAAGGACUCAAUCUUUCAAUUAUCAUAGGACUACUCCUCUCGUCUAUCGAGGUUGAUAGAUCCCAUCUUGGUGCGACCUAGUUCCUACAAUGAAUAUGCUACAGCCAACAUACACCUCAGGGUUUCGAAUGGCUAGGAGAUCGAGUUAUGGUGUAGUCAAAUUAUAACACACUCAAGGUAAACUAUCGAUGCACCUCAGGUCAAAGAACUAGACACAC